CCUUCUUGGUGCAGUAGGCAACAUAUCAGCCUCAUAAGCUGAAGGUCCUGAGUUUGACCCUUAAAAGGAGGA
RNAcentral lists this transfer RNA (72 nucleotides) under Monodelphis domestica (gray short-tailed opossum). It matches the Rfam family "tRNA". From Rfam's summary of the family: Transfer RNA (tRNA) molecules are approximately 80 nucleotides in length. Their secondary structure includes four short double-helical elements and three loops (D, anti-codon, and T loops). Further hydrogen bonds mediate the characteristic L-shaped molecular structure. tRNAs have two regions of fundamental functional importance: the anti-codon, which is responsible for specific mRNA codon recognition, and the 3' end, to which the tRNAs corresponding amino acid is attached (by aminoacyl-tRNA synthetases). tRNAs cope with the degeneracy of the genetic code in two manners: having more than one tRNA (with a specific anti-codon) for a particular amino acid; and 'wobble' base-pairing, i.e. permitting non-standard base-pairing at the 3rd anti-codon position. Lineage: Eukaryota; Metazoa; Chordata; Mammalia; Didelphimorphia; Didelphidae. The record is from Rfam by way of RNAcentral.